Molecule: ribosomal RNA, 586 nt
Filed under: Criconemoides sp. yo XZ-2021
Lineage: Eukaryota; Metazoa; Nematoda; Chromadorea; Rhabditida; Criconematidae
Description: SSU rRNA
Rfam family: Eukaryotic small subunit ribosomal RNA
Source: RNAcentral
CUGACCGUAAACGAUGCCAACUAGCGAUCCGCCGGUGGCUCUCAGGCCCUGGUGGGGAGCUUCCCGGAAACGAAAGUCUUCCGGUUCCGGGGGAAGUAUGGUUGCAAAGCUGAAACUUAAAGGAAUUGACGGAAGGGCACCACCAGGAGUGGAGCCUGCGGCUUAAUUUGACUCAACACGGGAAAACUCACCCGGCCCGGACACCGUAAGGAUUGACAGAUUGAUAGCUUUUUCAUGAUUCGGUGGUUGGUGGUGCAUGGCCGUUCUUAGUUCGUGGAUCGAUUUGUCUGGUUUAUUCCGAUAACGAGCGAGACUCCAGCCUACUAAAUAGUGCGGACAUUGCCUUUGUGUUUUUCACUUCUUAGAGGGAUUGGCUGCGUCUAGCGGCACGAAACGGAGCAAUAACAGGUCUGUGAUGCCCUUAGAUGUCCGGGGCUGCACGCGCGCUACACUGGCAAAGGCAGCGUGCUUGUCCGUCUCCGAAAGGAGCCGGUAAACCCUUGAAAAUUUGCCGUGAUUGGGAUCGGAAAUGCAAUUAUUUCCGUGAACGAGUAUCCUAGUAAGUGCGAGUCAUCAGCUCGCGUUU